UUCACCGAAGCCAGCGAGGGUUAUUUCUUCCCAUAGACGAGGCCGGCUCUUGUCUGCCCCUUCUUGGACAUCUCCCUAAUUGGUCAACAGGACCUCGCUGGCCUUUCCAUCGUUUGAGUCCGAGUCGUGCCACUUGACCAUUGAAAGCCUGACCAAACAUUGUCAAUCCCUUGUCAUGCCAAAGCAAAGCCAGCCACAAUCCCGCGGCCCUGGCAUCAUAGGCAGUGUCAAUAUUUGGCCAGGACCAAGUCGCCGAGUGAGGCCAAGUUUGCACUCGGCGCUCGCCGGCGCUCGGCACAGCCAUUGAUGCACACUCUACUCUCCGAUUCCGGGACUGGUGGGGAAUGAUGAUGAUGGCGCACUUCAGAAUGAAAAAAAAAAAAGAUUAAAAAAGAAAGAUGUUAUUGUAAAAAUAAA
Aplysia californica (California sea hare) is the source of this 417-nucleotide long non-coding RNA. RefSeq lists it as uncharacterized. The record is from RefSeq and is a predicted model, not a curated record. The transcript has 2 exons. NCBI's taxonomy places the organism in Eukaryota, Metazoa, Mollusca, Gastropoda, Aplysiida, Aplysiidae.